Molecule: long non-coding RNA, 693 nt
Organism: Papilio xuthus (Asian swallowtail)
Lineage: Eukaryota; Metazoa; Arthropoda; Insecta; Lepidoptera; Papilionidae
Exons: 3
Source: RefSeq, a predicted model, not a curated record
CCUAGUUAUUUAGUUAUAUUAUUUCAACAUUAAAAUAAAGCAACAAGAUGAAUAAAGUUAACAGUGAAACUAAGGUAAUACAACCAUUUAAUUUCAUUUACAGGAUGUUCGCUAAAGCAUAUACAUUACGGUUGCCAAAUUAAAGAUUCUGUAUGCAGUUGUAGAUUCGGUUGUAAAAAUGAAUUCAAGUACAGGACUAGAAGAAUCUGUCUUGGCGCUUUACGAUGUAUGUCAGAAAACAGUAUUUGUCAUGAGCCUUGUGUGACUUUUACUCUAUUUUUCUGUCUUUUGCUAUAUGAACAUUCUUUAUUUCCAUGCACGUUACAAAUGCGUUUGAUUAGCAGUGUGGCAUCUUUCUGCAGUCAUGUAUUUUACUUGCACUAUGUAUUAUAAUUAUAAGAGACGAAUAUAAACAAAACACGCGUCUGUUAUAAGUCAUGCGUACACGGCGUUUGCAUCCCAACGGAAGGGGGUUAUGUCUGCAAUUGUGAUGGCACAAAAUACUAUGGAGAUCAUUGUGAAAAAGCUUGUCCAGGAAUCGAACAAAAUGCCAAGAACAUCCCAAGAGCUUGUGGAUCUUAAAAUAGAAAAGUAUUAUUACAUCUUGUAACUUAGGUUUAUUUCAUUGUUAUUUUUUAUUCUCUUAUUAUUGGACUAUUAUACGAUAACAAUUGGACUUACGACGAAUUUAUU